Molecule: ribosomal RNA, 253 nt
Filed under: uncultured bacterium
Lineage: Bacteria
Description: partial 16S ribosomal RNA
Rfam family: Bacterial small subunit ribosomal RNA
Source: RNAcentral
UACGUAGGGCGCGAGCGUUGUCCGGAAUUAUUGGGCGUAAAGGGCUUGUAGGCGGCUGGUCGCGUCUGCCGUGAAAUCCUCUGGCUUAACUGGGGGCGUGCGGUGGGUACGGGCUGGCUUGAGUGCGGUAGGGGAGGCUGGAACUCCUGGUGUAGCGGUGGAAUGCGCAGAUAUCAGGAAGAACACCGGUGGCGAAGGCGGGUCUCUGGGCCGUUACUGACGCUGAGGAGCGAAAGCGUGGGGAGCGAACAGG